AAAUUGAAGAGUUUGAUCAUGGCUCAGAUUGAACGCUGGCGGCAGGCCUAACACAUGCAAGUCGAGCGGAAACGAGUUGUCUGAACCUUCGGGGGACGAUAACGGCGUCGAGCGGCGGACGGGUGAGUAAUGCCUAGGAAAUUGCCCUGAUGUGGGGGAUAACCAUUGGAAACGAUGGCUAAUACCGCAUGAUGCCUACGGGCCAAAGAGGGGGACCUUCGGGCCUCUCGCGUCAGGAUAUGCCUAGGUGGGAUUAGCUAGUUGGUGAGGUAAGGGCUCACCAAGGCGACGAUCCCUAGCUGGUCUGAGAGGAUGAUCAGCCACACUGGAACUGAGACACGGUCCAGACUCCUACGGGAGGCAGCAGUGGGGAAUAUUGCACAAUGGGCGCAAGCCUGAUGCAGCCAUGCCGCGUGUGUGAAGAAGGCCUUCGGGUUGUAAAGCACUUUCAGUCGUGAGGAAGGUAGUUGCGUUAAUAGCGU
Molecule: ribosomal RNA, 482 nt
Filed under: Vibrio parahaemolyticus
Lineage: Bacteria; Pseudomonadati; Pseudomonadota; Gammaproteobacteria; Vibrionales; Vibrionaceae
Description: bacterial SSU rRNA
Rfam family: Bacterial small subunit ribosomal RNA
Source: RNAcentral